Molecule: ribosomal RNA, 484 nt
Filed under: uncultured bacterium
Lineage: Bacteria
Description: bacterial SSU rRNA
Rfam family: Bacterial small subunit ribosomal RNA
Source: RNAcentral
AGAGUUUGAUCCUGGCUCAGGACGAACGCUGGCGGCGUGCCUAACACAUGCAAGUCGAACGAAGUAUAUUUUUCGGAAUGUACUUAGUGGCGGACGGGUGAGUAACGCGUGAACAAUCUGCCCUAUACAAAGGAAUAGCCUCGGGAAACUGGGAUUAAAACCGUAUGACACUUUUAAGUCGCAUGACAUAGAAGUCAAAUUGAAUAAGAGGUAUAGGAUGAGUUCGCGUCUGAUUAGCUAGUUGGUAGGGUAAAGGCCUACCAAGGCGACGAUCAGUAGCCGGCCUGAGAGGGUGAACGGCCACACUGGAACUGAGACACGGUCCAGACUCCUACGGGAGGCAGCAGUGGGGAAUAUUGCACAAUGGAGGAAACUCUGAUGCAGCGACGCCGCGUGAGUGAAGAAGGUCUUCGGAUCGUAAAACUCUGUCCUUGGUAAGAAGAAAACGACGGUAGCCAAGGAGGAAGCCCCGGCUAACUACGUC